GGAGGGAUGCCCGAAUUGGCUAAGGGCCCGGCCUCGAAAGCCGAGGGUGGCCUUCCGGCCAUGCGGGUUCGAGUCCCGCUCCCUCCGCCA
Molecule: transfer RNA, 90 nt
Filed under: Dictyoglomota bacterium
Lineage: Bacteria; Pseudomonadati; Dictyoglomota
Also listed under: 1 other name
Description: Dictyoglomi bacterium (hydrothermal vent metagenome) tRNA-Ser
Rfam family: tRNA
About the family: Transfer RNA (tRNA) molecules are approximately 80 nucleotides in length. Their secondary structure includes four short double-helical elements and three loops (D, anti-codon, and T loops).
Source: RNAcentral